Molecule: long non-coding RNA, 7148 nt
Organism: Vitis riparia (riverbank grape)
Lineage: Eukaryota; Viridiplantae; Streptophyta; Magnoliopsida; Vitales; Vitaceae
Exons: 6
Source: RefSeq, a predicted model, not a curated record
GGAAUGGACAAGCUGAUGAGUCUAUCCAUGGAAUCUUUACUUGAAUCAAGUUGGGAUUCAAUCAUAGCGCCAGCUUGAGGUUGCAGCCAACUUGUAUAGUCCAAAAAAUUUGCCAUAUUUGCCGUUCCAACUUCCAAGGGGCCUGCUAUGAAGUAAAGCACGAUCCUCAAAAAGAGAAUAAGACAGCUUAUUCCUCGCCUUUUUACUUUGCUGUGCAGAAGUAAAGGUCCUCUCUUUCAAAAAAGAAAAAAAAAAGGAAAAAGAAAAAGAAAAUCUUUCCGUUCUCUUAAACUUCUUACCUUUUUACAAUGGGGUUUUCAUGGGGAUGAGUAAUGCUUCAUGAAAGGUUCAAUGCAUUUUAGAGCAUGGAGUGGAGGGUUUGUUAUCAAUCCAGUGGAAUAUUUGCCCUUAUGGGGUCUACAACCUUGUCUCCAUGGCUUGUGGUUGUUGGUGCUGAAAUGGGUAUGUGUAAUUUCAUUGAUCCAAUUCCGAAAAGAUAUGUUUCAUGAAUUUUCAUGAUGCUUCCGGUGCUGCAAAACCGUUUUUCAAUGGACAGUUGGUUGCUGGUGUCUCAGGGGUUGGCCCUCUGGAUUCUUCUAUCCCCUUCAUGAAAGCUGGAAUUUAUGGGUCUUCAUUAUUGGGAUAAUAUAUUUUUCAUGGACUAACAGUUUUUCGGAGAAUCCUCAAGGGCCAUGUACUUUGACCCAUCAAAUAUUCAUAAUGAUGUGCAAUGAAAAGCAUCUACUGGGUGUCUGUAGGACAUUUUGGAAAACGGGUUGGUGUUUUCAGUCUGGAUUAGUCUACAGUUCUCUGGUGAGGGGAAUGACAGAAAAACCCGCAAUGUGGAAUAAGGUGCAUUUUGUUAAUUCGGCAAAUAUGGUGGCUUCUGCCCUUAGAAUUGGUGAUGGGAACAAUGAUUCUUGUGAUUUCUACAGGGCAAGAAGGAAAUUGGAUUGUGCUUGGGUGUUCAAGCAAGGUGACUUUGACCUUGUGGUGAACAGUUAAAUUGCCUAGGAAUCCUUUCUAUUAACCUUUGCUCAGUUGUAAAAUAUCAAAUCAUUUAAUGCCUAUGAACCAUCAUUUAUGAGCACAUGUGGGGACAUUUUUUUCUUGAUGUCUUUUGCAAUUAUUAUCAGAUGCUCUUUGCAUUCAUGUAAUUUGUUAUUGGAAAUGAUAGAGAUGUUCCUAAAGACACCGGUAAUGUUGCAAGAAAUCUAUAGCCAACCUUCCAGCAAAAUCUAUUUUCUUACUAUCAAGGUUGUCCAUGUUUAGUACUUUACUAGAUACAAAUGGAAAUGGCAACAACUUCUUCAUCCUAAUAUCCUAUAAUUCUAGGAAUUAGUUGCUUCGACAAUCUUUGAUGGUCAUAUAAGUAUCCAAAGUAUGAAUAAGAUGGAAGUUUGUUGUCUCAACCAUUCUUCUCAAUCCUGAUUCGAAUAAAGAAACGGGCUUUUAAGGAAGUUUUUAAAUUGUUGGUUCCCAGGUCUAGGGCUUCUUUCCUUAUGUUGCCUAAUGGUAAUAGUGGGGUAGAAUUGAUGUCCAACCCAAAACCUGUAAGUAUAAUUUGCUCGAUUUGCUAGGUCAAAUCGGAGAGGCAUCCAUUUUGGUUUCCAUACUGUAUUGGUCCAUAUAACGCUUACUGAUCUUUUUAUUAGUACCAAAGACAGCAUCAUUGACUAUCACCAGGCCAGGGGGAAAUAACCGCACAAUUUGAAACUAAAAAAUUUCAUAUGAUUGGAUCAGGGUAUAAAAAAACUCACGUUAUUUAUAAAUCACUAUUUAUUUAACCUUAUAUGAUUGCCUCCUUGUAGAGCAAUCCGGUUGAAUCACUUCUCAGAAGUUGGAGAAAACUUGGGAGCUAUUAUGGUUCACAAGUAGCCAUAGUCGUAACUUUAAAUAUCUUAAACUUCUUGAUUUUAAAAGUGGAAGAUUCUAGCAUACUGAUCUAUCAAUUCAUAUUGCUUGGAGCAUCCAUGUAUUCUUCUUGUAUGAAUAUGUUAAUCCAGCAGAACCUUUGCAGCUUCAGACCUGACUGAUUUGGAUUUGGAUCUGUUCAAAUUGCAUGACCACCUGAACUGAAUUCCAAGGAUUGCAACUGGAUUUCAAUCCACAAGAAAGCCCAUUUAGACAAUCAAACCAGCUGAGCCAAGGAGGUCACUCUUGGUUUAUACCCUGCCCAGUUGCAUUUCACAUCAUGCAGUAUGGCUUUCACUGCCCUACCCUCCUAUGUUUCAAUCUUGUGAGAUGCUUGAGUUGAUUUGUGAUGAAAUUUUUUUCACAUGUUAACAUAUGAUAAGCCCUAUCUUGGAUGGUUUCAACACUUGGAAAUCUGAGACUGAGUCCACCAACUUUUGGAGUCUUAUCCAUCUAUCUAGUUUAAGUAAGAUCCAACUUUUUGUUGUUUCCAAACUGUGGCCAAAACAUCUGAUUUCUUGGGAAGAUGUUGAACUGCACAAGUACUUUUAUUUUACCAAACAUGUUAAAGCUCAAACCUUGCUAUAUUUAAGCUAUUGUUAUCAUAUGAUUUUUUGUCUUCCCCAAUGGCCCUUUAUUUGUGUGUCAAAAUGAAAUAGCCGAAUAAGGAACUGAGCUUAUUUUCACAGUUCGGCCCAAUCCUGGUCUUUGACGUUGUACUCAUUUGGGUAUUGCAGGCUGUAAACUGCAUUUUGUUUUUGUUUGCUUGGAAUUGUUUUCUCUUUUCAAAAAUUUCCUUAUAUCAGGCACUCAUAUAUGUAGCCUCAACCUUGUAAGUAGCUGCAAUUUUUUAAAUAAUGAUAAAUAUAGCUAAAAUAGCAACCCUUAGAAUCAAUUAGACAUGAACUAGGUUCUAUUGUUUUUGGACAUGCAUUUUUAUGACAUAAACUUGAUGUGUAUGGUGCCAUAUUUUUCUUUCACAUGAUUCUUUCUAAGUUGUACAUAACUUGGAUAACCUGGAGAAAGAAUUGACCAUCUGAACCAUCUAGUCCUUUGUAUUUUUCUUUAUUCCUCAUUGUACAUAUAAGAAGGUGCAUAACAUUGUCAUUGUGUUUUGUUGGCAAGUUAUAGAUCUAAGCUGUUCAAUUUCAAGUUCUUUUUAAUGCUGAAGAGAUAAUCAUGCUGCUGCUUGGGAUGUCUCUUCCGUGGGGUAAGGAAAAAUGUUGUUCACUCCACUUAUAGCAACACAGCUCAGGUGGUGUCACCUGAUAAUGCCUCAUAGCUGGGGGCUUUGCUCUCGGCUCUGGCUUAGAUGGUUAAACAAGUGAAAGGGCUCCAUUGUAGCACAAACUACUCUAUAAUACCUUUUCAUCUUCAUUUUGUAUUUUAAUGUUUCUUUCUUCUUAUUUCAUGAAUCCAUGUACUACAUUGUAAAAGGGUGAGAAGUUGUGAGUAACCCAAUACAAAAAAAGGGGGUUGGGGGAGGAUUUGUGGGAGAUUCCUAGUUCAAGUCGAACAAAAUUUACCCAUUGAAAAAAGAAAAAAAAACCUGUACGAAAGGAAAUAAAAAAAAAUAAAAAAAUAAAAAAAUGAUGAGAAGUCUAUACAACAUCAUGUGGCAUUCUUGUCUACCAUUAAUCUUAAAGCAAAAGUUGACCUCAUCACCCAUCAAUUUCAGAACUGUUCUUAAUGCACUUUGUUUUAUUAAGCUUUUUGAGUUAAGCAUUUUUUAUUGUAAGUCAUUUUCCUUAUUAGAGUCAUUUGUAUUCUUUUGAAAACAUUUUUCUUAAAAUCUUUUUUAGAUUGGCAUUAAAAAGAAAGUGAUUUAAACCAUUGAACUGGUACAAAAACUAAAGGAUUGUGAAAAUUUAAAAUUUUAAUGAAGCAAAGGAUGAAAAUGUUAAAAUAAUUCAUUGAAUACUUUGACAGUUUUAGUGGAAAGAUGACUUUAAAAAUUGGAACAGAACCUGAUAUCAGAUGUUACUGUCUGAAAACUAUUUCUCUUUAAACUAGAAUAGACCAAUGUGCAUGUGCAAUUUAAUGGGGCAUAGCUUGGGAUGGCAAAUCAGUAAGUUGAAAAUUGGUUCUUAAGGAAGCCUGUAUUCUUUGAUAAAGAGGGAUAGUAGAUAGUCCUUGUGACUCCAUUGAUGCGCUAUAAAGCCUGAGAAGCUUGAAAUAGGUUGAAACAUAUCUGAGAAACAAUUAACAUGGUCAAGAUUGACAUAGAGGCUGAAUGUUUGAGCUGAAUUCCCAAAGAGAGCAUCUAACAGAGGAAACGGAGGGUGCCCUGCCAAAAGAAUUUGGAAUGAGUAUCCUGAAUGGAGUAUCUCCAAGAACUAAGGAGCUGGGGCAAGGUUAUGCUCUUUCUAAUGAUUUCCUAUAUUGAUAUUUUCUGUAAGUAGAGUACUUUUUUUUGUGAUGCAGAUAAUAUAUUGUUAAUUGUCUUUUACUGUGAAAAAGAGAGCCAUUAUUGGAAUUAGAAAUAGAUUCUCACAUUCUCCCUAAGUUAUCUAAACAAGCCUUGCUUUAUUAUCCCCUGUAAUCCACUUAUGCCAGUAAUUUUAUUCUUUAAGGAGCCUCUUUACUUUAUAUAGAAUUAUCCUUCAGUGAUUUGCCAUUAGAUCUGGAUAAAUCUAGUAAAGGGAUGGGAUUUCAUCUUGUCUUUCUCACAGAAAUUGGUAAGCAAGGAAAACUCUUUGUUCAAAAGGACUUUUGUGCAUUCUUAUCUUGUUUCUAUUGCUUCCCAAGUUAAGAGGGAAAACAGUAGAAGUGUUCUUUACAGGUAUGGAGAUGGAAACUGCCAGGAAGAGGCUCCUAACAUAGAUCAGUAAUUGAUCUUAUAUUUUCUAUGUACAUUUCAUUUUGUGAGAGGAUAGACUGCAUGAUUUAAAAAACUUCCUCCGGGAGUACCUUAAAAGAUGAAAGCUACUCUGAAGAGUAUAUAUUUUACGGUCGUGAGGGGGGUGGAAAUGUUCUAAUCCUCAUCUCAAAGCAUAAACUGUACAAUGAUCAAUGAUUAGUUUUAUUACCUGUUUUCUGAGGGUAUUUGGUUUUUCUUUUUCAUACUUCUCACACCAGGUACGACUUACUUUUUAAACAAGAAGGAUAAUUUACAACUGAAUUUUAAUAAGAGACCUGGAUCUUGAGGGAGCAAUUUUGAUAAGAUCAUAGUUCUUGUUAACUGCAUGGAGUAUCCUAUUGUUGCUCGGUGGCUUCCAAUCAUUGUGAAAUGCAUACAUGAAUCACUGUGACAAAUUAAUGAACUUUUCAUAAAUAUGUACAGUUAAGGGCAUGAGGCCACCAUCAUGGGAAUCUGGACCAUAUACAACUCUAUGCAGGACAAACUCAAGUUGGUAUGUCAGCAUACUAGCCGCCCAUAUUUCAUUGACCGUUGGAUUGUGAUAUGAUUUUCAUGGGGCAAUCUUUGAUCCUUGGCCCCGAUGCUUGAGUUCUCAGGGAAGUUAAAAUGGACCUUUUCCUUGUUGUCUGCUUCACAAACAGCGGGAGCUACUGCUAUAAAAAAAAGCAACACUAGAGUCAGCCAUGUGCUUAAGCAAGAUAUUAGAUAUUCCUGGUCUCUGGCAAAUGUGGAGAAAUCUGAGUACAGGACCCGGAUCCAUUUCACCUGUUCAAAAUGGAGAAGAGAAUCCUUCAUCAGAAUUCAGAAGGCUUUCAUGCAGGAUAUUUAUCCACAACUCACCACCAGAGACGUCCACAUAUGGAAAAUUUCCUGUGUAAACCUGCAUUUCAGUGCCUUGGAGUGAUUCCAUGUUGAUCACAACUCCUUGGUGAGCUUGUGCUUGGCCUUGGAGUGAGUGGCCAUGGCCUCUAGCUGCAACUGUGAGCUCUGAACCAGGACCCAUUCUCCAAACAUGCUUUAUGGUCGUGGCAAUAUCAGAAACUGACUUUGGAUGCAAGACUGCCUGAGGAAGGAACUGGUACCGGUUCCCAAAGUCUCUGGCUGCAUGCUCAAUUCCAUGGAAACUGAAAUGCCCGUCAACAGAAAGUGUUUCCAAUGAAGAAGGGAUGAUGGGAAGACAGAGGCUGAUGUUAGCGGUUAAACAGCCCAAGAACAAGAUGACAAAGCUCGCUAUGAAACGAAUGCUACUUGGCCUGAGGAAACUAAUAGGUGGGUAUCUCAUUUUUUUCUUGAGAAAAGAUGGGAGAAGCCAAAGACAGAAGCCCCUCAACAUUGUAUUUGUUUCUAUGUGAGAAAAGAAAAAAGAGAGGUGUAGAAGAGCCAAGGAAAUGAAGGGCUGAGGAGGGAAUUUAAAGGUGAAGAUUUGGGUGGCAGAGUCAACCUAUCCCCAGUGGUGAGCAUCCGUAUGAAGACUGCCUACUUGGGUGGGAGAGUUUUAGGAUUUUCUUUUUAUUUCUCCUUUUUGGGCUCUUUUGUUUAAGAGAGAAGCCAUCACAUAUGCCAAGUUGAAGAGAAAAGUCACAGAAAGAAAGAUUUCACAAAUCUUGCACUUUUUUUAACAGUUGCAACCACAUUGUCACCUUUUCCAUCAAGGACAAACAUGUCUCAAAUUGUUUCUCAUUAACCCUGCUUAAGGAUACCUUUGCCAUUUCUACAAAAGGUUAUGGCCUUGCUGGGACGUGCCUUCGUCUGCCUUCAGUGACAGGCUUGGCCAUAGAAGUGUCUUUCUCACAUGAAUGAUGAAGUUUUUUCUUGAAUUCAUUGCUUGUCCAAAGUAAACAAGGCGUAUCUUCUUUCAGAUCGGAUGAGAGGGACUAGUGGGGAUGGCUAGAUUUAUUUGAGAAAGGGAGAGAUGGGCUAGCAGGAUUUGUAUGGACCCAUGGGACAAGUGAAUUUCAAAUGGGUAUGUGCUUUGUUGGGGAAAGGGCUAUGAUUGGUAUAGUUGGACCCGUUUCCCCAGUGUGAUCGGUUAAUCACAGGGGUCGAAUUUGGGAUGACAGCUUAGAGGAAACACCGAAAGACUACCCUUUGCCUAUCUGCUGCAAUGUCUUUGAUGCCUCAGUUCCCAGCCAUGGGACAAGCCUAAAGAUUCUCCUGCUCAUGUUUUGUGUGCAAAGAAAUCACUUCAUUUCAAUUAUUGUUUCUUUGCCGUGUCUUACUUGUUCUUAGUGACCAUAAUGUGACCUUAAUUUGCAGGCCUCACCAUGUGUAUAUUAUGUGCAAAUAUACCCGUCUUGCACUCCUUUUUUUCAUUGUGUACUUGAAAGUAUAUUGUUAUAUACCCCAUAGCUUCCUUUGCUCUUGAAACACUCCA